This 506-nucleotide ribosomal RNA is filed under the name uncultured bacterium. RNAcentral's name for it is "partial 16S ribosomal RNA". It matches the Rfam family "Bacterial small subunit ribosomal RNA", at positions 30 to 523 of the family's 1533-position model. The record is from RNAcentral.
AUUGAACGCUGGCGGCAGGCCUAACACAUGCAAGUCGAACGGUAGCAGGAAACAGCUUGCUGUUUCGCUGACGAGUGGCGGACGGGUGAGUAAUGUCUGGGAAACUGCCUGAUGGAGGGGGAUAACUACUGGAAACGGUAGCUAAUACCGCAUAACGUCGCAAGACCAAAGAGGGGGACCUUCGGGCCUCUUGCCAUCGGAUGUGCCCAGAUGGGAUUAGCUUGUUGGUGGGGUAACGGCUCACCAAGGCGACGAUCCCUAGCUGGUCUGAGAGGAUGACCAGCCACACUGGAACUGAGACACGGUCCAGACUCCUACGGGAGGCAGCAGUGGGGAAUAUUGCACAAUGGGCGCAAGCCUGAUGCAGCCAUGCCGCGUGUAUGAAGAAGGCCUUCGGGUUGUAGAGUACUUUCAGCGGGGAGGAAGGGAGUAAAGUUAAUACCUUUACUCAUUGACGUUACCCGCAGAAGAAGCACCGGCUAACUCCGUGCCAGCAGCCGCGGUAA